This 546-nucleotide ribosomal RNA is filed under the name uncultured bacterium. Its description in RNAcentral is "bacterial SSU rRNA". It matches the Rfam family "Bacterial small subunit ribosomal RNA", at positions 777 to 1320 of the family's 1533-position model. The record is from RNAcentral.
AAUAGAUACCCAGGUAGUCCACGCCGUAAACGUUGGGCACUAGGUGUGGGGCCUUAUCAACGGGUUCCGUGCCGCAGCUAACGCAAUAAGUGCCCCGCCUGGGGAGUACGGCCGCAAGGCUAAAACUCAAAGGGAAUUGACGGGGGCCCGCACAAGCGGCGGAGCAUGCGGAUUAAUUCGAUGCAACGCGAAGAACCUUACCAAAGCUUGACAUGGACCGGACCGCCGCAGAAAUGUGGUUUCCCCUUUGGGGCCGGUUUACAGGUGGUGCAUGGUUGUCGUCAGCUCGUGUCGUGAGAUGUUGGGUUAAGUCCCGCAACGAGCGCAACCCUCGUUCUAUGUUGCCAGCGGUUCGGCCGGGGACUCAUAGGAGACUGCCGGGGUCAACUCGGAGGAAGGUGGGGACGACGUCAAAUCAUCAUGCCCCUUAUGUCUUGGGCUGCACACGUGCUACAAUGGCAGGUACAAUGAGCUGCGAAACCGUGAGGUGGAGCGAAUCUCAAAAAGCCGGUCUCAGUUCGGAUUGGGGUCUGCAACUCGACCCCA